Molecule: transfer RNA, 86 nt
Rfam family: tRNA
About the family: Transfer RNA (tRNA) molecules are approximately 80 nucleotides in length. Their secondary structure includes four short double-helical elements and three loops (D, anti-codon, and T loops).
Source: Rfam
GGCAGCAUCGGUUAGUCAGGUCCAGACCGGGGGUCUUAAGAACCUCUCCUCUUAUGAGGGCGUGGGUUCGAAUCCCACUGUUGCCA